Molecule: ribosomal RNA, 805 nt
Filed under: Bacillus licheniformis
Lineage: Bacteria; Bacillati; Bacillota; Bacilli; Caryophanales; Bacillaceae
Description: bacterial SSU rRNA
Rfam family: Bacterial small subunit ribosomal RNA
Source: RNAcentral
AGUUUGAUCCUGGCUCAGGACGAACGCUGGCGGCGUGCCUAAUACAUGCAAGUCGAGCGGACCGACGGGAGCUUGCUCCCUUAGGUCAGCGGCGGACGGGUGAGUAACACGUGGGUAACCUGCCUGUAAGACUGGGAUAACUCCGGGAAACCGGGGCUAAUACCGGAUGCUUGUUUGAACCGCAUGGUUCAAACAUAAAAGGUGGCUUUUCGCUACCACUUACAGAUGGACCCGCGGCGCAUUAGCUAGUUGGUGGGGUAACGGCUCACCAAGGCRACGAUGCGUAGCCGACCUGAGAGGGUGAUCGGCCACACUGGGACUGAGACACGGCCCAGACUCCUACGGGAGGCAGCAGUAGGGAAUCUUCCGCAAUGGACGAAAGUCUGACGGAGCAACGCCGCGUGAGUGAUGAAGGUUUUCGGAUCGUAAAACUCUGUUGUUAGGGAAGAACAAGUACCGUUCGAACAGGGCGGUACCUUGACGGUACCUAACCAGAAAGCCACGGCUAACUACGUGCCAGCAGCCGCGGUAAUACGUAGGUGGCAAGCGUUGUCCGGAAUUAUUGGGCGUAAAGCGCGCGCAGGCGGUUCUUUAAGUCUGAUGUGAAAGCCCCCGGCUCAACCGGGGAGGGUCAUUGGAAACUGGGGAACUUGAGUGCAGAAGAGGAGAGUGGAAUUCCACGUGUAGCGGUGAAAUGCGUAGAGAUGUGGAGGAACACCAGUGGCGAAGGCGACUCUCUGGUCUGUAACUGACGCUGAGGCGCGAAAGCGUGGGGAGCGAACAGGAUUAGAUACCCUGGUAGUCC